Apis cerana (Asiatic honeybee) is the source of this 10241-nucleotide long non-coding RNA. RefSeq lists it as uncharacterized. The record is from RefSeq and is a predicted model, not a curated record. Lineage: Eukaryota; Metazoa; Arthropoda; Insecta; Hymenoptera; Apidae.
UUGAUUAUUGGGAAUAUGGAAAUUCAAACGAAAUUAAGUAGUAAUAUUCAUGAAAAUGUUAUUUAACUUUAUCGUUCAUCAAAAGAUUUGCAAGAAAAUUUAUAAAUUUUUCAUUAGCAAUCUCGAUAAAGAUUUAUUAAUGGAAUACUACUUAUAACAGAUGCAUAAUUACUAUUACAUUAUUUAUUUCAAAAAUAUAUCAGAAAGUUUAUAUCUGAAAGUUCAGAAUAUUCAAUUAUUGAAAUUUUUUUGUAUAUGAUAAUAAUUAUAAUCAUCGAACAUGUGAAUAUGUUUCAGUUUUUGUUACGAAUCCACAAAAAAUUAUAAUCUUUUUAUUUGUUUAUGGAAAAUUAUAUUAUUGAUGGAGUGCCAACAUUAGAUUUUGAUUAUUAAAUUUAAGUAUUUUUCUUAAUAUUAAAGUGUAAAAUAGUAUAUUAGAAUUCAUUUGAUCGUUAUGAAAAAAUAUAGAAUUUUAUAAUGUGAUAUUACAAAACACAAAGAUUAAUUUAAUUAAUUUUCAAAUAAAACUUUGAAAACUUGAGAAAAUUUAAUCGUAUAAAAUUUCUUCUUUGUCUAAUAUCGAUUUUACUAUAUAAUUAGAAAUAUAAAAAUUAAUAACAUAGUUCAAUCAGUAAGUUCUUUAAUUAGAAGAAAGCUACUUAUAGUUUGUAUAGAUAGACUUGUCACUUUAUAAACAAUAUUAGAAUAUUAGAACACCUAUUUCGUGUCACUGUGAUGAUAGAAAUUAAUUCCUUGGUAUUCAGUUAGUCAGUUGUUUGAUAGUCUGCUGCUCGCCUAUAUAGGAUGAGCUUAAAUAACAGAAUGCCAUCUAACUUGAGAUUAAAUAAGGAAUUUUAUUUUAAAUAAGUGAUUUCCGAUAAAUAAACGUGCUUUUUAGAAAUUUAUUACUGAGAAAGUACGUACAAAUUAAUUCUAGCCAAUUUAUAUUCCUAUUUUUUCUUUAUCCUGUGAAUUGUAUAAUAUUAGGUUGAGUAAUCAGUUGUCUCUUUUUUAAAAUGUUAUUAAUAUCAACUACUGUGAAUAAAAGUACAAAUCAGAUUAUAUAUUUAUAUUAGAUAUGAUAAAAAUUAUUACAAAAUUGUUAAAAUUAUUAUUAAUUUUUUUUACUUAUUUAAAACAAAAAAUAAAUGAAUUAAUUAUCUAAUAUACUAAUAAUUUACACAAAAAAAUAAUUAAUUAAAUAAAUUUUAUAUAACACUUUCAAAUUUUUAAGGAAAUGCAGACAAACUUAUUACUUGAUCUAAUAUCUGAAUAGAGAGAAGAAAUAUAUAUAUAUUAAAUAUUUUAGUAUUGAAAUUUUCUAGUCUUUAUUCAUCGACAAAAUGAAGGUUUCAUUUCGGUAUUUAGUCUUGUACUACGCGUCUAGUCUUUUGUACAAUAGUCGAGAAUGAUUUGGACUGGAAUCGCAUUGGAACUUGAGAAGUUCCAUGGAUAGUCGGUAGUUUAUACGUAGUUAAACAUCGAGUUUCAUGAAUGGAUAAACGUGGAAAGAGACAGUUCGUAUAAUAGAUUACAGUAUACCUUGUGUACUCGAAUCUGGCGUGUUUUGAUUUGUUAGAUCUUGGUAUUUAUAUAUAUAUUUGGUGUUACACUGUUUAGAGAAUUUCUAUGAAGCUUUAAUAGUUAAAUUUAUAGGUGUUAAGUCUCGAAUCUAAAUUGGAAUUUCAGUUUCUCGAAUUAUUUAUAUAUUUAUAUUUUGAGUGGAUAUUAAUUUUUUUAUUGAUAUUAAGAAAUAAAUUAUUAUUAAGUGAUCAAGUUAAAUACUAGAUAAAAAAAAAGUAUAAUUAAUAUCAUUUUAUUUUUAUUUAAUAAAGCUUGUUGAUAUUAUUAUAUUAAUUUGAAAACUGUGAGAUUUUAUUAUGUACUAUUAAAAACUAUUUUAUAUUUAUUUUUAAAAUUGUAUUUCAAGAUUUUCUUUCAAUUUUAUAAUACAUAUUAUAUUUUAAACAAUUUACAUAUAUACUUUAUAUAAAUAUUUUUAUUUCAUUUCUAGAAUGAAAUCUAUAAAAUAAUUAAAUUCAUAAAAAUUUAUAUGCUUCACAUAUAAAGUAAUUAAAUAUAAAUUAUUGGAAUCUAUUUCCUAUUUUAUUUAGAGAUUUUUGCAUACAUUAUAAUAUUAUAUGUUGUAUAAAACAAAGAAGUUAAUUAUUAGAAGUCAACGAUAGAUUAUGUUUAAUAAUAGAAUUUAGUAAUGUGAAUAUUUAAUUGCUUAAUAAAUUUCCUAAAUUACAGGAAAUUGAAUCGAUUAGAGAAAUUUAAAUAUUUCAAAUAUAGAAUUAGAUUUUGAAACAUAAAAAAAAUAUAUAUAUAUAUAAACUUAUGAUAUUACAUCCUAUUAUAAUAAUAUAUAUAUUCGUACCUGAACAUUACAAUCCCGUAAUAAUUGUCUUCAAUUUGAGAAUUCGUAGUUAAUUUUUCUUUCUAAUGCUUUUUAGAUUGUAAUCAACUAUUAAGCUUUGUACCUUUGGAAUUGGGUGAGCUAAGAAGUAAUUUCCAAUUUUUCUCUAAAUGUAUUUUUCGAAUAUUUUCUAAUAUUUAUUAAAUUUUUUUUUAUGUAGACAUAAUAAAUGUUUAAGAUAAGCAAAUAUAGUCGUUUCUCUUAAAAAUUCUGCAACCAGGGUAAUAUAUCUUUCUUAAUAAUAUUUCAAGAGGAUAAAAAGUCGAACCUUUCUAAAAAGAAUCCUCCGUCCAAUAGUUUUAAAAAAAAACUUAAUGUAAAUAAUAAUUAUUAGUUGAUGCCUAGAAUAUAAAAAAAAUUAAUGUUCUACAAAAAUUUUUAUCAUGUUUGAAAAUUAUCAUUUUUUUUUUUACUUAUAAAAUAGUAAAUUUGUUUUCUUCAUCAUUUUUUGAGUAAUCAUUUUUAUAGUAGUAUAUGUAUAGUGCAUAAACGUAUAAUUUAUAUAAAUUUUUAAAUUACAAAUAAGAAUUAUUGGAAAUUACUUGUAGUUUUGCCUAAUACUUUCAAUUGAUAUUAGAUAAUUUUUAUGCUCUAGGAAUAAAGUUCUAACUAAUAAAUAUGAAUUUCAUGAACCAAUGGUUACUAAGAAAUGAAUUUAAAGGAAUUACAUCGAAUUUCAAUGUACUUGAAUUGCUGAAAGAAUCGAAACUGGGUCAAACACUGGAUAGUUAAUGCAAAAGAUCGUUGUUCAAUUUUGAUAUCUUCAAAAUUUCUACGAAAGUGUUCAUUCAUGAAUCAUUCAUUAAUCAGAUUAUGAAAUUUGAUUUCUUAAAAUAAUAUCAGAUACUUUCGUGCACUAAGUCCUUUUAUCCCGUAAUAAUAUUCAAUUAUAAAAAAUAUUCUCUGCGAAAAUAUCAUUAUUAAAAAAUAAUUUUAUCAAAGUUUCGUACAUUGGUAAAAAUACAUUCACAAAUUACGUUCAUUUUACAUUAACUUUUUUAUAAAUAUAUCUUUUUAAAUAUAAAUUUAGAUUAAACGAAAUAGUUUUUAAAUCAUUUCUUUAAUGACUCAAAAUAAAACAUCAUCUAUUAAUUUUAUUUAAAAUUAAUCACUAUCAAACGAAAAUUAUCAAAAAUUAUGUUGCGUUUUUAAUAAAUUAAAAAGAUAUUAGAGCAAUUACAUAUAUUAAGAAAUAAUAUUUUUUUAAAUCAAUAAUAAACGCAGAGGAUAUAAAGAGUGAAAUUAACUGUAAAAUGAGGUAUCUAACACGAAGUAACGUUAUAAAUUCAUUAGAGAAAGUACGUGCGGAACGUGAAGCAAGAUGCAGAUUUUUUGAAAUUAAGCCAACCAGGAUUUAAUUGAGCCAUUUCUACCCCUACAAAUGAGGUUUUCAGUUACCUGCUAACGAACUCUGAAAAGAACGUAGCUGAAUACAAUGUUUUUUCUACUUUUUUUUUCAAUGUUUUUACGAAGUCUUGACCUCGCUAUAAGAUACCAUUUUUGUCCAUCUUGGUAAAAAAGUUUUUCCAGGAUAAUUAUUUUUAAUAAUAAUCGUAUGAUUUAUUAAACGGAGCCGAUAAUUAAAGGUUUUCACUGAUUUCUUUGCCUACAUAUAUACAAUACAUACACACAGAUAUAUAAUCAAAAAUUAUUAUACACUUAAUACACUUAAACACAAAGACACUUAAGUCAUAUAACCAAUUUCUUAUACCUAUAUUGAAGCUUAAUUUACUGUUUCACGUAUCGGAGAGAGAAAUUUUGCUUAAAAAUAAUUAUGAUAGUUUUUUUCGUUUUUUUUUUUUGCAUUGUCCGGAUAUAAUUUUAAUUUUAAAAAUUAUUUAUUAUAUUUCGUUUCUUUCUCUGUAUUUGAACAGUAUAUGUAUAAAUACAAAAAAUAUUCAUUUUUCAGCUUAAUAUAGAUAUUAUUUCAAUAUCCAAUGAACUCUCGACAAGAGAGCUUUGUUUUUAUCAUUUAAUUAUCAAGGAAUAAUCCGUUUCUUUAUUUGCAAUUAGAUAAAUGCAAAGUGAAACAUACUUUGCAAUUACAAAUUUUACAUAAUGCUUUCACUUAAUAAUAUAAAUAUUAAUCUGCAAAUUACCAUUGUUUUAAUUUAUAUUGGAACAACCAGAUCGUGAAUUUGCCACUUAAUUAAAUAUUCCGUGAAAUUGAAAGUAGUUUUUCAAAAAAAAAAAAAAAAAAAAGAUGCUAUUUAAUGCUGAUUAUUUAAUUAUCAUAUUUUUAUGCUUUUUUCUUUUUGCAUAUAUAUAUACAUAUAUAUAGAUAUUAGAUACAUUUAAUUGAAUAAAUAACAUAUAUAUAGUAUAGAAUUUUAAACACACAUAUAUACACACACAUAUACAUAUAGAACAUAAACACGAUUUAUCCCUUCUCCUCUUUUGCUUCAAAUAUACAUAUGCUCACAUAUGUAUAUAUUUAUACGUAGAAUAUAUAUAUUCGUCAUUUAAUAUGUUCGUUUCGAACAGUACGGAUGAAAGUAAUUUUGCGAUGACGAAAUAUGUGAGGGAAGAAAGUAAUUUCUUUUUUAAAAAUUUCAUCACAACAAUGUCGAUUCUGGGUAAAUUGAUGUUUACAUUAAUACAAACAAUAUUAAAUAUUAAUUAUAAUUUGAAUAAUUAUUGAAAUUAUUAAAUUAUACAAAGCACGUAAUAAUUUUUAAUAUUAAAUGUUUUUGAUUAUUUAAAAUAAUUGUUUGAUCAUAUGUAAUAUUUAUUUCGAUUAUAUGCUAAUAUGCUAUUCUUGGUAUUAAAUAUAAAUUUAUAUAUAAAUAUAUAAUUUUAAUGCACGAUUACGUUUCGAAAAAAAUUUGAAAUUUUUUUUCUUUUUAAGUCUUUCAUUAAUUUUUAAAUAGGUGUAACAUUUGUUUCUCCCACAUAUGUAGAUGUAAUCAAAUUUUUGAUAGAUAUUAUAUAAAAUAGUGAAAAAAAAGUGAAAUUAAUAGAAAUAAUACCCAGCAUCGCAUGAUAUACAUUAUUUUAAAAAUUAUUCUAUGUUAAAUCACUAAGUUAAAAUGCUUCAUAGUCUUCCUAGAUUUAUCUCACAAUUUGUAGCAUUUGUCGAUAAUUUCGACAACAUAUAGAUUAUACAAGAAUUCAGUCAAUUUUUAUAAGAAAUUUUAAAAAAAAAUUUAAGAAUUUUCAAUUAUUGUUUAUAAUUAUUAGAAUUAUUAAUAUUAUUGUAUAUAAAAGAAUAUGUUACAUAAUAUUAUUAUUAAUAAUAAUUAGAUUACUUGUUAAUAAUAAUAUUUUAACAAGGAAAAUUGAUUAAUCAUUUAAUUUGUGUGAUAUAAAGAGACUCUAAAAUUAAAUUUAAUUAAUUAAAAAUUUUUUUAAUUUACGGAUAAAUGCUGCAAACUCAAAGGAUAUUAAAGAAGCUAUGAUGCCAAUUAACGUGUGAUUUAUCGUAGAAUAACAUGCAAACAGGGAGCGACGUGAUUCAUAGUAUAUAUCCAUAAAGAGUGAUUUUCUCAAAAAUAAGUAGAAAGUGUAAAAUACUUUUUAUCCGCACAAAAUUUCCUUUUCAAAAAAAAAAAAAAAAAAUCUCCACAAUUUUCCCUACAAAAACCAUCGUCAUAUUUCGUUCUGAAAAACGAGCCAUAUAUCACAUUUAAUAAAGUAAUUUGACACGCUGACUAAUGGUUCCAAGCUUGAUUAAGUAAUAAAUAAUCCUAUACUUUUUUCUCCUUGAUAAAUAUUUAUUGCUCAACAAAGCAAAUCUAUUUCCAAUUUAGGAAACAGUGAUAAAUUAUUGAUUUAAACAAAACCAGAAUCUUCAAUCAGAACAAUAGUUUACACGAGAACUUAUCUAGAAUUUAUUGUUAGCCAAGAUUGAUCUUCAAAGUGUGUCGUUUAUCUGGGAAAAAAAAAAAAAGGAAAAUAAUAUUUUAUAUUUUCGACUUAUUUUAUGGGGAAAAAUCACUUUCUCUUCUUAAUAUCACAGAAUACGUCUCGCCUUGUUAUAAACAAAACGCAUAGAAGUGCAAACAAGAAAUUCGCGAACGUGGAGUUUAUUAAUUUUUAACUCGUUAACUAUAUCUUGAUUGGCUGUGAAUCGAAGAUUCACGGAUGUUUAACAUCAAGACAGUCGACAAGAAAAUAUAUUCGGAUACAAAAUUUUGUAUUACGACGAAUUUCGAAAUUUGCGCCUUGUUUCAUAUCAUUUGCAAAGCAACGAAACGACUAAACAGGGACGACCCCCGUUUGCUAGAAGAUAAUUAAGUGCGAUCCCAUAGUUUGUACUUGUGAUAUUUGACAAACAGAAAAAAAUACAAGGAAGAGGAAGAAUAAGAAAAAAAAAAAAAAUCAAAGAAAUGGCGAAAAGAAGGCAAAGUUCAGUAGUCGAGCGGUGUAACAAAACGCUUUGGUCGGCGCUUUCGAGUCCACGGCGCGUUUGCAUGUCUCUUCUUUCGAAUCCUUCUAUAUAUUUCUCUCAUUCUCUCUGUUCUUUCUUUACGUAUUUAAGGAUGCGUCCCAUUUCACUUGACCAUUUUGAGAAUUAUAUCAAAAUGAAAUCGUUGGGAAGAAUAUUCAAUAGAACAGAAGAUUCCUCUUAAAAGUUUUCAAUUUUCAUGAGAAUUAUUAAGGAUUAUUCAAUUUCGUCUCCGUGACGCGUUAUAAAAUAAAAAAAAAUUAUUCAAAUAAUCAUUCUUUCGAUUAUUAUUUCUCUAUGAGAGUCAAUGAGUUAAGUAAAGUGGGACAAUCUGUCUACAUCUCUCUCACUCUGUCGUCCCCUUAAAUAUUCUUAUACUAUAUUUCUCUCUGUUUCUUUUAUCUCCUCAUCUCUGUCUCUAUCUCUAUCGCUGUCUCUAUCUGUUUUAUUUUUCAUUUAUCCUUUAACGGCGGGUUGAUCACUUCGUUCUGGUAGACAGUAAUAUAUUAUUGCGAACGAGUUUCGUAAGGAAUGCACCUUUCGUUACAACAUGUGUUGGAAUGUUGUUUGUUGUUUUUUGUCGUAAAGAAGCUUUUGUUACACCCCUCAUUAUACCCUCACCUGCAUGAAGGAUAUCUUUGCAAACGUUAAAGCUUUCCUUUCUGACCGGUAUAUAUUAUAUAUAUAAAUAUAUAUUAUAUUUAUAAUUUUAUUGCAUCGUGAUUUUAAUUAAUGCAUACACUGUGCAAUCUCUCUCGAUCUUGAUCGUUCGAUCGAUUGAAAUAACGGGAAUUAUCUUCGACUUUCCCGAUCAUAUUAAUUUCCUGCACGACAUGAUGCAUAAUCGAAUUGGUGAUUGAAUCUUUCUUUAUAUAUAUAUAUAGAAGAAUAUUUUUUAGUUCACUGAUAUAGUCACUUUUUAUUUUAAACAGUUAUAUUAUAACAGAUUAUAUUAUAUAAUGAUGUUUAAUUUAAAUAUAAUUAAUUUAUUUUGAAAUUUUAAAUAAAUUAGAAUAAUUGUAAUAUUUUGAAGAGUGUCAUAUAUAUAAUUUUGAAAAACAUUUUAAUGUAAAGAAAAAAGUGAAGAAAAUUGAUUAAAAUAUAUUAAAAAUCAUUGUAAUAAGAAUAUAAAUUCUUGAACGAAAACUUAGAUUCUAGUAAAUUAAACUUAUUUAUCUUGUAAUAAAUCGAAUUUAUUCUAUUUUUAAAGAAAAAUUUUUCCAUAUGUAUAAAAAUAGAUUAAAAAUCAAAAUUACAAUCACCGAUUCGGAAAAGUAGUGCAAUUUUAUUUAUUUAUUUAUUUAUUUAUUUUGGCAUAAACACUCGAGUAAAGUAGAAAUAUCUCUGUUCUAUCUGAAAUCAUGCAACACGCGUCUAAUCAUCAUGAUCAUCUCGCAUCCUCAUCACGAGCGGAUUCUCCUUGCUCAGAAGUUUGCACAACGAAGUUGUCACCGAAUCUGCAAAUAUCUCUGAACAUGCAGCUGAGGGUAGCCGAAUACGAUGAAUCUUACGUUCUCUCUUCACAUCGAUUAUGUUUCGUAUAUUCGUAUAUUAAUCUCAGGGAAUUCGAUCAAUGCGGAUGCAACAACAACGAUUCCUGUAAACAGAAUAAUUGUAAUUGUAAAAGCUCUAUGUUUCUCGUAUCUCAAGAAAUAAUAGGUAAUCGUUAAUUGUCAAGCAAUAUCCGAUAAUCUUGAAAAUAGUUUCUUGAUCGAUUGAAUUAACGUUUCUUUUGAUCUCAUUUUGAUCUCUUAUUUGUACAUGCAUGGAAUUUGUACAAGAGAACUUCGAUAAUUUUUUUAUUGGUACGCGAUGGAAUUCGAUGGGUCGAAUAUUAGGCAAAUUUUCCUUUUUUGAAUUGUCAUUUUAAAAAUUGAUUAAGAUGAAUUUAAUAUUAUUUUAAGCAUAGAUAAGUUCCUCUUUUUAAAUUUACAAAUAGUAUAAAUGUAUUAUUAUAUAUUUUUCAGAAACAAUAUAUACAAUAUAUAUCAAUAGAAAAUCAUUUUCAUUUAUGUCACUUACUAUUUUAUUUCAAAAUAUUAUAUUUAUAAAUACAUAUACACAGUUUAUGAUUUAAAAUUAAAAAAACAAUAUUUAAACAAUAUUUUUCAUAUCUUGUUCAUAUGAUUUUUAUUUUCUUAAUUAUAAAUUCAUAUAUAUAAAAUACAAUUGCAUUGUACUUUAUAAUCAGAACAAUUACUUUUUUAAAGAUUUGUGCCUUUAGUUUUAGUUUCCCAUAGUUUUGAAAUUUAUUUCCUAUAGUUUUCCUGCUUGAUAUUGUUACACAUCCUUUUUGAAAAGAAAAGAAUCCAGUGUAGAUUAAAACCAGUGAUUGUCCAAUAUUUACCGAAUUCCAUUACGAACUAGAACGGCCUUCAAAAAGAAUGAAGAUUGGAAUUUUUUUAUUUAUCGAUGUUCCCUUGUGGCAGAAAGUACGAUUAAAAUCCUAAUUUCGCGUUUACGUUUUACGUCUCGAUUUUUGUACAUAGUUUGUACAUGUAUAUAUGCCUCUAUAUGUCGUUUCGAUGUUUGAUCCAGCGGUUUCAUUAUCCAAUACGAAGAGAUUGAAAUCACCACGAGAUGAGGCCGUGUCACUUGCCAUGUGUACAGACGGCUUAAUUGACAGGUUUUGUAAAGUAUUGUAAAUUGUGCCGAGUACAUAGAUACUUACAUAUACAUAUAUAUAUAUAUAUACUAUAUACAUAUAAAUGUUAACACGAAAGUUUAUCGAUUAUUACAUAUGUAAGUAAGUAAACGUGCUAAUGUAAUGGAUUCUCUAUUAUGUACGAUUAUUAUAUCGUUCCGAUAUAUUAUACAAAUCAGCACAAAACAGGUAUUAACUAUUCGCCAAUCUAAUUAAUACAAUCUGAAAUUUUAAUAUUUGUAAAAUUUCUGAAAUUAAAACAUCGAUAGAUUUGAAUCAAAAAAAUAGACAAUUAUAAAAUUCUUGUUUGAUGGUGUUUGGAUACUUUCACACCCAACGACAAUACAAUCGACGUUCUUUAUUAUAAAACUUCUUAAACAAAACUGACCAGGCAAAUUGCAAAAUUAUUAUUAUCAAUAAGAAAGAAAAUCUAAAAAGUAUCCAAUCGUAUUUUGCAAGUACAUGACAUCCAAUCGUUCCUGUUUUGUGCAAAUUAUUUAUUUCCAUAUUAAUUCGAUCCAAGCAAUUCUUAAGCAACCGCGCUUACAGUGCCGAUCUGUAUUUUUACGAGUCCUGUGCAUAUAUAUAUAUAUUCACACCCGCUUGUGAUACGCUUAAGACUAUCUCUGUGAGCAUCAAUGGUGGGCCUUCUCCCCCUCCUCAGCUGGCAUAGCGCAAAGUAACUGUUGCACGCGAAACCAGUACCCAUCAACGGCGGCGAGCAAAACGAGCAGCGGUAUUAUUGCGGCGGUGCAUUGUACGAAGAUAUAAUAAAGCACGAACUGCUGGAA